AUGUACAGGAAUGUCUAUCGCUCGCUAAAACCGGUGUCGUGCAGGUGCUCGUUCGAUCGCAACGAGCUCAUUCGAUCGAUUUCCCUUCAACAAGCAACACCGACAGUGGCAAGGACGAUAGAAGAAAUGUUCUCCCGAUUCGAGAGCUGGCUAGCUAAGCAGCGGGCAAAGUGCAACAGCUUCCCGUGGAGCCAUUGUGCCAGCCGGCCGGACAGGGCAGCGUCAGCUGAGUUUUCGUUUACCGGAUACCGCAAUUGGACACCCGAAGCACGUCACAACAGCUUACCCAGGCGCCAAUUUACAAUUUUCUUUUCGGAACGAAAUAUAGGCGAUGGAGAGGAACAAACAAUGUUGAAAUUACUGCUUAAAGAACAUGGCUUGUACAACAAACACCAGACAAUUCAUCAGCGUCGUCGAUUGAAAUAUCUGCUGGAGCUGGAACAGCGUACACUAUCACCUCACGACGAUACUGCGAUCAUGUCCCGCUGCCUAAAAGUCUCUGCCAACAAUAACCGGACCUGCCCGAUUGAAGUUCAUUCGAUGCCAUUCCAUUGUCCCCGACCGGCAACAGGUGCUGCGAAGUGCUGUGCCACCUCAACUGCCAGUUCACCGAAAAAGGUCCGCCGAGUUGCUUCCUUACCG
This is a long non-coding RNA of Anopheles gambiae (African malaria mosquito), 642 nucleotides long. RefSeq lists it as uncharacterized. Lineage: Eukaryota; Metazoa; Arthropoda; Insecta; Diptera; Culicidae. The transcript has 3 exons. The record is from RefSeq and is a predicted model, not a curated record.